GACAGACUUGAGUUCAUAAGAGUAAUUCGAGUAGCUGAGGCCAUAACCAAACUCAAAAACGUUCUGGCCUUUGUAGAAUCUGUAUGUUCGGCCAGGAUAGCCUGAAGAGUAAUCAGGUCGCAUCCUCAUAUCUGUCAUUGGUACUUUGACAAAUUCUUGUGGAUACCAGGUCAUUGGUAAUCUCCCUCCUGGAUUGUGAUCACCAAAUAUGAUUUCUGCAAGUGCAAUCCCAC
This 233-nucleotide unclassified non-coding RNA is filed under the name Hevea brasiliensis (rubber tree). The record is from RNAcentral. Lineage: Eukaryota; Viridiplantae; Streptophyta; Magnoliopsida; Malpighiales; Euphorbiaceae.